This is a small nuclear RNA of Orcinus orca (killer whale), 104 nucleotides long. NCBI's taxonomy places the organism in Eukaryota, Metazoa, Chordata, Mammalia, Artiodactyla, Delphinidae. The record is from RefSeq and is a predicted model, not a curated record.
GCGCUCACUUGGGCAGCACAUGUGCUAAAAUUGGAACAAUACAGAGAUUAGCAAGGCCCCUGCACAAGGAUGACACGCAAAUUUGUGAAGUGUUCCAUGUUUUU